This is a long non-coding RNA of Budorcas taxicolor (takin), 569 nucleotides long. RefSeq lists it as uncharacterized. Lineage: Eukaryota; Metazoa; Chordata; Mammalia; Artiodactyla; Bovidae. The transcript is spliced from 3 exons. The record is from RefSeq and is a predicted model, not a curated record.
GUCCAGGGACCGCAAGCCGCCAGAUGGCUGCAUUCUUUACGCGUAAACCAGACUGCGGGGAAACGAAAUCCACUCCUUCCUCCCGGGGACCUGGCUUCCUCCCCUACGAAGCCAGAUAAGAUCCAUCUCUAAACCAGGCCAGUUUGAGGUGCAUAGAGUGAUUGAAACCAGCCGGCUGAAGGAGGGAAGCUUCGUGGAAAGGAUCCCGGUGCAGAGUUCUAUCCUGAACACCAGACCUCUGUGUAGGGCUUGGGCUUUCAGAAGAACCUGGUGUACCAGGCAGCCGAGAAGGAAGAGAAGCCGGUGGAGUGAAGGAGCGAAAAGUGUCUAGAAUAAUCUGGGAUGCUCGUCCUCUCUUCCGCACAGUCUCAGGCUGCAUCUCUGUGACCAGGUCUCGCUGGGAGGUCUGUCUUCUAUUACACUCAACGUGUGCCCUCUCGGUUCCUGACUUACUUGCUCAGACUAACUUUGGUGUUCAUUAGAAAGUGUAUUUCCCCCUGCAUUGACAGCGGCCCCGUUACUGGGAUGGAAAGAGGAGGAACAUAAUAAUCUAACCUCCAAAGAAGGCU